Manis pentadactyla (Chinese pangolin) is the source of this 127-nucleotide small nuclear RNA. The record is from RefSeq and is a predicted model, not a curated record. Lineage: Eukaryota; Metazoa; Chordata; Mammalia; Pholidota; Manidae.
GUGUUGUAUGAAAGGAGAGAAGGUUAGCACUCCCCUUGACAAGGAUGGAAGAGGCCCCCGGGCCUGACAACACGCAUAUGGUUAAGGCAUUGCCACCUACUUCUAUCAAACUGUACCAGCUGGCUUU